GCAGGUUUGUAAUGAUUCAAAUGUUUAUUCAUACUGUUAUCAUUGAAAUUUACAAGAUUUUUAGGGGGAUUAAACUGUUCUAUUAUAUAAUAAUGCACAAACUAAAGAGUGUCUAAAUUUUAAAAUUCGGGAAUCUAAGACAUGAAUCUACUUGCAAUUUGAACUUUGAAGUGUAAGAUCUUAUUCAUAGUUUUGAGUUUCUUAAAAUUUGAAGCAAUAGGACUUUGAGUUACACACGAAGAAUUGUUUUUUUGC
RNAcentral lists this unclassified non-coding RNA (255 nucleotides) under Hevea brasiliensis (rubber tree). The record is from RNAcentral. Lineage: Eukaryota; Viridiplantae; Streptophyta; Magnoliopsida; Malpighiales; Euphorbiaceae.